GACGAACGCUGGCGGCGUGCUUAACACAUGCAAGUCGAACGGAAAGGCCCUGCUUUUGUGGGGUGCUCGAGUGGCGAACGGGUGAGUAACACGUGAGUAACCUGCCCUUGACUUUGGGAUAACUUCAGGAAACUGGGGCUAAUACCGGAUAGGAGCUCCUGCUGCAUGGUGGGGGUUGGAAAGUUUCGGCGGUUGGGGAUGGACUCGCGGCUUAUCAGCUUGUUGGUGGGGUAGUGGCUUACCAAGGCUUUGACGGGUAGCCGGCCUGAGAGGGUGACCGGCCCCAUCGGGACUGAGAUCCGGCCCAGACUCCUACGGGAGCCAGCAGUGGGGAAUGUUGCACAAUGGGCGGAACCCUUAUACCGCAACGCCGCGUGCGGGAUGACGGCCCUCGGGUUGUAGCCCGCUUUCGCCUGUGACGAAGCGUGAGUGACGGUAAUGGGUACAGAAGCACCGGCUAACUACGUG
This 468-nucleotide ribosomal RNA is filed under the name uncultured bacterium. RNAcentral describes it as "partial 16S ribosomal RNA". It matches the Rfam family "Bacterial small subunit ribosomal RNA", at positions 28 to 507 of the family's 1533-position model. The record is from RNAcentral.